This is a long non-coding RNA of Notolabrus celidotus (New Zealand spotty), 971 nucleotides long. RefSeq lists it as uncharacterized. The transcript has 3 exons. Lineage: Eukaryota; Metazoa; Chordata; Actinopteri; Labriformes; Labridae. The record is from RefSeq and is a predicted model, not a curated record.
UUCCUGUUUGCUUUUAUAACAGACGAAUAUUGAGAAACGCAGAGAGCAGCGUGUGCUUACCGUGUGCUUAUUUUAUACAGUCUGUGGUGCUUACUUUGGAAGAGGUCGUUUAUCCUUGAGAUUGAGACGGAGAACAGCAACAUGGUCUGACUGUUGAUCAAAGCUAGCAUCUAUGUGGUCCGGAAGAUCCGGGCUUCCAUUGCUGAGGGGGAGCAAUUGGAAAAGCCUAUCAUAACACCAUGUAGUGCUAAAGCUGUAAUGAAUGCAGGAAAUGAGGCGAAAGGGAACCCCCCGGUGAUCGUGAUGAGCUCAGGAUCUGAAGAAGGAGUUGGUGGAGCAGCAGCAGCCUCCGGGAUGUCCUCAGGGACAGCUGUGGAGAAAUGUGGAUCCUGACGCUAGAGGACACUGGGACUGUGGUCACCUCAGUGGGAAAAUACAAUUUGUCAUCUUUGUAUUUUUGCAUUACAGAUCAGCAAUUAUGAAGGAUUCCACUCAUAUACGAGACAUUGUACAUCCACUGAUCUACAACAUAAAAAAACUCUUUUGGAUGACAUUUAAGAAACAUCAUAAUGCUGCUGUGUGGUGUCCAUAUCCCCCUUGGUGGCCAGCAUCCUGCUUGUUCUUACAUGUUCAUAAGGCUUUUUUUUUUAAACAGGGAACAUUUAAACUAACCUUAAUAAAAUAGAACAGCUGCUAAAUAAAUAGAUAAAUACAAUAACAUUAACAUUAACAAUCUGUAUUGCCAAUUUUGGUGUUCUAGUGGGAUGCAAAUUGGUAUAUGCAUCUAAAUGUGAUAACAGACAUUUAUAGUAUGACGUUUAUUUGCUUAGUCAGAAUGUUCUCUGUAAAAAAAAAAAGCCCUGUAUUUAUUUACUGCAGUGUUUGAAGGCUGACUCACAAACCUCUCUCAAGGGGCUGAGCAGGCCUGAUGUCUUUGAUGCAGUAUCAAUAAAUAAAAACAGAAAAAAUAA